Molecule: transfer RNA, 73 nt
Filed under: Paramuricea clavata
Lineage: Eukaryota; Metazoa; Cnidaria; Anthozoa; Malacalcyonacea; Plexauridae
Rfam family: tRNA
About the family: Transfer RNA (tRNA) molecules are approximately 80 nucleotides in length.
Source: Rfam by way of RNAcentral
GACCGCGUAGCUCAGUUGGCAGAGCAUUGGACUAGUAUCCCAAAGGUCGCAGGUUCAAUUCCCACCGUGGCCA